CGCGUAAAUAAUCUACCCUGGUGUCUGGGAUAACCCUUCGAAAGGAGGACUAAUACCGGCUAUAUGCUUAGUUGUUGGACUAAGCAGGAAAGGUGGCCUCUUCAUGAAAGCUAUCGCACUGGGAUGAGUUUGCGUACCAUUAGCUAGUUGGUGGGGUAAAGGCCCACCAAGGCGACGAUGGUUAGCGGGUCUGAGAGGAUGAUCCGUCACACUGGCACUGGAGCACGGGCCAG
Molecule: ribosomal RNA, 233 nt
Filed under: uncultured bacterium
Lineage: Bacteria
Description: partial 16S ribosomal RNA
Rfam family: Bacterial small subunit ribosomal RNA
Source: RNAcentral